UGAAAAUGCUGGAAAUAAAGGAGAGGAGCUACUUUGCAGAAUUUCCAAAAUUUCAAAUUUGUAGAAAUUUGCCCCAGAAAGAGGCCGCUGGUGAAGCUGGGAACUCAUCCGUCCCCCUGGUGUCACAGGGAGAGGCCAAAGCUGGAACCAGUUCCCGAAGCAUUCGUGAUCUGGUGGCUCACCAGGACAUUGGUUCGAGACACGAGACUCCAAUCCAUGAGUUUUGGGAGAUGCUCCUGUGGCCACGUGGACCAUCUCGAGUAGUGUCUGUGUCUGUCUGUCGGCCAGGAGCUGGUCCAUCUGUCCGGUCCUGUCGGCGGUCCCAUGUGCUGGAGAGGAUGCAGUAGAUCUGUGUUCCUGGGCUCGGUGGGUUUCCCCCAUGGACCUUUAUCAUCUCCUGGCUGCAUGGACUUUACCGGCUCGGGGGUGAAGUGUGAAGAGCAGAAACUCGCUGUGCUCUCAGGAGAUGCUGCAUCUGCUCCUCUCCUGCUCCAUCCUCUGCGACUUUCAAGCAAAUCACUCCGGCCCCAGCCGUCCUCCUCCAGGGGAAUCACAGCUUCCUUGGUCACCAGGUGCUGGUAGAGGAACUUCAAGUUUUGCUGGUGGAUUCACACGUCGAGGUGGAGCUGGGCUGUGCCACAUGAGGGGCAGCAGCUUGUGGGAAAGCGCUUGAUACAUGGUUUAUACCCAGAAGAGGCAGGGCGUGAAGCCGUGGGAAACCUCCCCCAUGGAAAUGGUGGUGGUUUCUGGUGGAGCAGCAGCUGAUGGUCCACACACCCAGCAGCUCCAGGGCUCCCACUGGCCACUGGGCAACAGCCAAGGGAAAGCUGUCACCGUCUGGUGGCUGUUGGGUGUCCAACGUGACAUGGAGACACCGCAGGGGAAAGUGGAAGACAGACGGUUGAGUUACUCCUGAAUCCAAAUUCAGGUUCAGAGCCACGUGCUUUGCAACUGGUAAAGAUUAAGAUCUUCAUUUUGGCAUUUCUCCUGUGUUCUGGAGCCAGAGCUUGGCCUGUUUCUUCUCUGCGUGGGAGCUGGGGGAAGGCUGGUGUGCCAGAUGGGUGUUUUUAGGUCACUUCCAGAGAAGUGGAUUCGUUUCGAUGGAACCAGCCCAUGCAUUGGCACUCAGCCACGUUGUGGUGGGGAUGGAGGAUGGUUUCCACCUUCCAUUGUCUCACUGUCAGAAGUUUUGACCUUGCUCACACAUCUAUUAAGGCUUGAUUUAUCUUCACUGACGUUCAGACUCUGACCCUGCCAAGAUCGUUGUCGGACCAUCUCUGGGUUUCAGUGGCCAAACACUCAAAAGCAGGAGCGCCCAUCAAGGGCUUCCUCUGCCAAGAGCAAACCAAAGACCAACCUGUGCUGAACUAAUUCAAUCCCUCUCUUCAGAAGGUCCCUCUGCUUUCCUGGAACCACCUGGUUCAUUAGGAAUUGGGCUUUUGCAUGUAUUAGAACUGUAGAGCUCUCAUUCCCACAGGCACGUGGGGACGUGGUGGAAUGAAUGUGCAUGUUGUGUCUUGAUAAUGUAGUUUUCUGGGGUUGUCAGACUUUUUGAAGGUGUGAAACGGGGACCAGUUUGACCUCACACGAGGCAUUGGGUCCUUAACUAACUGUGCAAUGCCAUAGACAUUUGUCCACCUAAAAUACAGUAUUAACACUAAUCAGAUAUUAUUUAGAAAGUAUGUGGUAAGCGACAACUGCUGCACUGAAAAUUAAAUUAAGGCUGUUAAAUAGAUUUGAGUUUAAAGAAAACAACUUUUGGUGAAAAAAAAUCUUUGAAGAUACCUGUUUUAGUUCAGAUUUCACAUUUAAAUUUCCUCAAAGAUGUUGGCAGGGUUCAUUUCUCCUUUGUACAUGUAGCAUAUUUGUUCAUCUGUGCUAUUAUACAGUUCUUUUCAAGCUGAGUACUCUACUGGAAGCCAGCAGCAGCUGAAUUGAAGAUAUGAAACUGGAGGAGACCAUAUUUCAUACUGCAUAAAGUGCACCCCUGGAAUUUUCAGUUCUUCUUUUCUGCAGUAUUACAAAUGCCUUUAUAAAGUAUCAUGGCAGAUGGGAUUAAAAAAAAAAAAAAAGAGAGAGAAAAGAAAAAGAAAAAA
Calidris pugnax (ruff) is the source of this 2096-nucleotide long non-coding RNA. RefSeq lists it as uncharacterized. NCBI's taxonomy places the organism in Eukaryota, Metazoa, Chordata, Aves, Charadriiformes, Scolopacidae. The record is from RefSeq and is a predicted model, not a curated record. The transcript has 3 exons.